UACGUAGGGCGCAAGCGUUAUCCGGAAUUAUUGGGCGUAAAGAGCUCGUAGGCGGUUUGUCGCGUCUGCCGUGAAAGUCCGGGGCUCAACUCCGGAUCUGCGGUGGGUACGGGCAGACUAGAGUGAUGUAGGGGAGACUGGAAUUCCUGGUGUAGCGGUGAAAUGCGCAGAUAUCAGGAGGAACACCGGUGGCGAAGGCGGGUCUCUGGGCCGAUACUGACGCUGAGGAGCGAAAGCAUGGGGAGCGAACAGG
Molecule: ribosomal RNA, 253 nt
Filed under: uncultured bacterium
Lineage: Bacteria
Description: partial 16S ribosomal RNA
Rfam family: Bacterial small subunit ribosomal RNA
Source: RNAcentral